RNAcentral lists this ribosomal RNA (490 nucleotides) under uncultured bacterium. RNAcentral's name for it is "partial 16S ribosomal RNA". It matches the Rfam family "Bacterial small subunit ribosomal RNA", at positions 30 to 507 of the family's 1533-position model. The record is from RNAcentral.
AUUGAACGCUGGCGGCAGGCCUAACACAUGCAAGUCGAACGGUAACAGGAAGAAGCUUGCUUCUUUGCUGACGAGUGUCGGACGGGUGAGUAAUGUCUGGGAAACUGCCUGAUGGAGUGGGAUAACUACUGGAAACGGUAGCUAAUACCGCAUAACGUCGCAAGACCAAAGAGGGGGACCUUCGGGCCUCUUGCCAUCGGAUGUGCCCAGAUGGGAUUAGCUAGUAGGUGGGGUAACGGCUCACCUAGGCGACGAUCCCUAGCUGGUCUGAGAGGAUGACCAGCCACACUGGAACUGAGACACGGUCCAGACUCCUACGGGAGGCAGCAGUGGGGAAUAUUGCACAAUGGGCGCAAGCCUGAUGCAGCCAUGCCGCGUGUAUGAAGAAGGCCUUCGGGUUGUAAAGUACUUUCAGCGGGGAGGAAGGGAGUAAAGUUAAUACCUUUGCUCAUUGACGUUACCCGCAGAAGAAGCACCGGCUAACUCCGUG